AUGCUGACGAGCGGCGGACGGGUGAGUAAUGCAUAGGAAUCUGCCCGAUAGUGGGGGAUAACCUGGGGAAACCCAGGCUAAUACCGCAUACGUCCUACGGGAGAAAGGGGGCUCCGGCUCCCGCUAUGGGAUGAGCCUAUGUCGGAUUAGCUAGUUGGUGAGGUAACGGCUCACCAAGGCCACGAUCCGUAGCUGGUCUGAGAGGAUGAUCAGCCACAUCGGGACUGAGACACGGCCCGAACUCCUACGGGAGGCAGCAGUGGGGAAUAUUGGACAAUGGGGGCAACCCUGAUCCAGCCAUGCCGCGUGUGUGAAGAAGGCCCUCGGGUUGUAAAGCACUUUCAGCGAGGAAGAACGCCUAGCGGUUAAUACCCGCUAGGAAAGACAUCACUCGCAGAAGAAGCACCGGCUAACUCCGUGCCAGCAGCCGCGGUAAUACGGAGGGUGCAAGCGUUAAUCGGAAUUACUGGGCGUAAAGCGCGCGUAGGUGGCUUGAUAAGCCGGUUGUGAAAGCCCCGGGCUCAACCUGGGAACGGCAUCCGGAACUGUCAAGCUAGAGUGCAGGAGAGGAAGGUAGAAUUCCCGGUGUAGCGGUGAAAUGCGUA
RNAcentral lists this ribosomal RNA (605 nucleotides) under Vreelandella aquamarina. RNAcentral describes it as "bacterial SSU rRNA". It matches the Rfam family "Bacterial small subunit ribosomal RNA", at positions 85 to 692 of the family's 1533-position model. Lineage: Bacteria; Pseudomonadati; Pseudomonadota; Gammaproteobacteria; Oceanospirillales; Halomonadaceae. The record is from RNAcentral.